Molecule: long non-coding RNA, 1941 nt
Organism: Cottoperca gobio
Lineage: Eukaryota; Metazoa; Chordata; Actinopteri; Perciformes; Bovichtidae
Exons: 3
Source: RefSeq, a predicted model, not a curated record
AAUGCAUUGUAAUGUGAGGAAGGUCUAACGGUGUAGUUACUUAGUAGAGGCCUGCUGUUUGUUCAUGGAAAAUUUGAGGCGACUCUACAUGGCGCAUUUUGAUCUCAGCCCCGCUUUGGUGCCUUUCAAGCCAUGCUUGGCCCUUUGAGGGUGUAAAAGGGCAGGCAGGCGCGUCACUGGACACCUCUAUACUUUUCUAAAGGCCUUGAAGGACGCCCAGCAUGUAUAUCCACUCGGCCCAAACAACAAAGGGAAAGGCUGCGUCACAAAGGGACACCAGCAUGGACGUGAUGGAGCUCGGCGUACCGCGGGGGGCAAGUGGAUAUGCGUGCGACUACGUGCUGAUGUGGCAUCUGCUGUGGUCCGGGAGGUGACAGAGAGGUAGCAGCAACCUGAGCCAGGCUGAGAUGGCAGUCACUUUGUCCAUAUGCCCGCUCCGAGGACACACACUCUCCUGGCAGGACAAACUCCCACAUGCUGGACGCUUCGUUACCUCACUCACACACAAGCACACACACACACACACACACACACACACACACACACACAUAUAAGACUGCAGUCAAACACUCAUAAGCAAACACUCAAGCUUCACCAUGUGUGUGUGUAGUGCCACAUCAUCUGUGCUGGAGUGUGAAGGGAACGAAAGGGUAGCGGAGGUAGCGGUGUGUGCGCUGCCAAAUCACCACAUAAUAGACUGUUCCGGGACCAUCCAACCUGCCGACCAUAUGGGCUCAACACAUCAGUGGAGCGAAGGAGCCACCACACUCAUACAAGAACAUAUAAGUACCUAUAUAUACACAUGUGUAAAGAUAGGGUUUUCUUUAGUUAAAUACACUUUCAUGUAACACCUAGCACUGAGACUGAAAAUAGUCCCAAACUAAAUACUACAGUACCAAGCAGUUUUGAGAAAUGAUUUACCUUUCUUUGACAUAAAUAUGGAAAAACAAGGACAAAGCGCUAGUCACACCACAAAGUGACAUUCACUCGGUCACACAAAUUAGGUUGGGCCAAGAAGCUUAAUGAGGUACUGACCACUAGCAGGGCUAGUCGGUGAACUGCUGUAGCUGCCGAGCUAGCCGUUAGCUUGCUAGUGCUAGUCAGUCACAAGAUUCUCCCACUCUCUUUACUGUUUUGUUACUUUCCACUGACAUUUUGUUCCCCAUUGCAGAACAUUUCGUUCAAUAAAUAAAGCUCUCAGAGCUGGUGGGCUUUUUGUCGUUAACUAGCUUGUUAGCAUGUUAGCUUAGCUCAAUCGCUUGCUGGAUAAUGAGGGUAGGGUAAUAGUAGUUCUUAUUUAUUUUAUUUAUAAAAUAAACACAAAUUGCAAGUAACAUUACGGGUCUUUUAGCAGACGCUCUUAUCCAGAGCGACUUGCAGAGAACUAACUACAGUUACAGUCCCCCUGGAGCAACUCAGGGGUUAAGUGCCUUGCUCAGGGGCAAGCCCUGGUAUUGAACUCACAACCAUCUGGUGUUCUGUUUGCAAGGCGCACUAGGCCAAGUUGUAAUUAUAAUUCUCUACAUAUUGUCCACAGCCUGUAAAUAGGACUUUGUGUUUCAAAAAGCUGCCAACUUCCUAAACUUUGCUUAAUGACUUACAAUAAAUACUCAAGUGUUGCAGUUCUUUACGCCAGCUGAACAAUUUCUUCAUGAAUGUUGUUUUCUAAAUACACAUUACGGUGGAAACAGGUGUUCCCAUCGUUGUCCUUUCAUCGCUGACAGCCUUUGUUCUGCGGGUGGUAUCAUCUGUGGAGGGAGAGUUGCAUCUCCCGGUAAUGUAUUUCAUCAGCUACAGCUGUAUCAGACGCUCUCCAUUGGUGUGGAAAUGAGGGUCGUCAAGUUGCCACGUAGCUCCUUCAUCCACAUUAGAGAGACAGAGAGGAUGGGGGCUGCUCAUUUAUUCUGGCUCAGGUGUGAGUCUGUGUGUGCGUGUAUUUGU